RNAcentral lists this ribosomal RNA (375 nucleotides) under uncultured organism. Its description in RNAcentral is "partial 16S ribosomal RNA". It matches the Rfam family "Bacterial small subunit ribosomal RNA", at positions 527 to 896 of the family's 1533-position model. The record is from RNAcentral.
GGAGGGUGCAAGCGUUAAUCGGAAUUACUGGGCGUAAAGCGCGCGCAGGCGGGCUGGGGUCAGUCGGGAUGUGAAAGCCCCCGGGGCUUAACCUGGGAAUUGCAUUCGAUACUGCCCGGCUAGAGUAUGGGAGAGGGAAGUGGAAUUUCCGGUGUAGCGGUGAAAUGCGUAGAUAUCGGAAGGAACACCAGUGGCGAAGGCGGCUUCCUGGCCCAAUACUGACGCUCAGGUGCGAAAGCGUGGGGAGCGAACAGGAUUAGAUACCCUGGUAGUCCACGCUGUAAACGAUGAGAACUAGAUGUUGGGAGGGUUAGCCUCUCAGUGUCGCAGCUAACGCGUUAAGUUCUCCGCCUGGGGAGUACGACCGCAAGGUUG